RNAcentral lists this ribosomal RNA (345 nucleotides) under uncultured bacterium. RNAcentral describes it as "partial 16S ribosomal RNA". It matches the Rfam family "Bacterial small subunit ribosomal RNA", at positions 338 to 675 of the family's 1533-position model. The record is from RNAcentral.
CCUACGGGAGGCAGCAGUGGGGAAUAUUGCGCAAUGGGCGAAAGCCUGACGCAGCGACGCCGCGUGAGGGAUGAAGGUCUUCGGAUCGUAAACCUCUGUCAGCAGGGAAGAACGGUCACGGUGCUAAGCAGCAGUGAAUUGACGGUACCGGCAAAGGAAGCACCGGCUAACUCCGUGCCAGCAGCCGCGGUAAUCCGGAGGGUGCGAGCGUUAAUCGGAAUUACUGGGCGUAAAGCGCUCGUAGGCGGUAUGUCAAGUCAAGGGUGAAAUCCCCGCGCUCAACGUGGGAACUGCCUUUGAAACUGGCAACCUUGCGUGUGUUAGCGGCUAGUGGAAUUCCAGGUG